Long non-coding RNA from Homo sapiens (human), 442 nucleotides. NCBI's taxonomy places the organism in Eukaryota, Metazoa, Chordata, Mammalia, Primates, Hominidae. The record is from Ensembl.
ACCCAGCACCCUGCCCUGACUGUAAAGUCAGGCGGCCUGCUCCUGUUCCGCCUCCUACCGGCCCGCCUGUUUUUUCGCCUGUGGCUUAGGAACUCCAGCCUCACCUGAUCUCCGAAUGGACCUCAGCUGCUCCUGCGCCACUGGUGGCUCCUGCACCUGUGCCAGCUCCUGCAAAUGCAAAGAGUACAAAUGCACCUCCUGCAAGAAGAACUGCUGCUCCUGCUGCCCCAUGGGCUGUGCCAAAUGUGCCCAGGGCUGCACCUGAAAAGGGGCAUUGGAGAAGUGCAGCUGCCGUGCCUGAUGUUGGGACAGCCCUGCGUCCAGUUGUAAAUAACGCAACCCCUACAAAUCUAGUUUUUUUUUAAACACAAACCUAACCCAUUUACUAUGUCUGUUUUCUUAAAUGAAAUAUGGGAAUGAUAAUAAACAUUGUUGGCCUUAU